This 429-nucleotide ribosomal RNA is filed under the name Pseudomonas sp. Its description in RNAcentral is "partial 16S ribosomal RNA". It matches the Rfam family "Bacterial small subunit ribosomal RNA", at positions 355 to 776 of the family's 1533-position model. The record is from RNAcentral. Lineage: Bacteria; Pseudomonadati; Pseudomonadota; Gammaproteobacteria; Pseudomonadales; Pseudomonadaceae. RNAcentral also lists the same sequence under 7 other names.
UAGGGAAUCUUCCGCAAUGGGCGAAAGCCUGACGGAGCAACGCCGCGUGAGUGAUGAAGGUCUUCGGAUCGUAAAACUCUGUUAUUAGGGAAGAACAAAUGUGUAAGUAACUAUGCACGUCUUGACGGUACCUAAUCAGAAAGCCACGGCUAACUACGUGCCAGCAGCCGCGGUAAUACGUAGGUGGCAAGCGUUAUCCGGAAUUAUUGGGCGUAAAGCGCGCGUAGGCGGUUUUUUAAGUCUGAUGUGAAAGCCCACGGCUCAACCGUGGAGGGUCAUUGGAAACUGGAAAACUUGAGUGCAGAAGAGGAAAGUGGAAUUCCAUGUGUAGCGGUGAAAUGCGCAGAGAUAUGGAGGAACACCAGUGGCGAAGGCGACUUUCUGGUCUGUAACUGACGCUGAUGUGCGAAAGCGUGGGGAUCAAACAGG